Felis catus (domestic cat) is the source of this 7440-nucleotide long non-coding RNA. RefSeq lists it as uncharacterized. The transcript has 2 exons. Lineage: Eukaryota; Metazoa; Chordata; Mammalia; Carnivora; Felidae. The record is from RefSeq and is a predicted model, not a curated record.
CACUUUUUGAACUACAUUAUCCCUUGGCUUAUGUUGGCCUGGAUUGUAGCUCUAUGAGAUCAAAUAGGCUACAAUAAAUUCCACUGGACUCUUGAGUUGCUUUCAUUUGGUCCUUGACUGAAGAAUUCACAAAUUGUGAAGUCAUGAUUCCUUCCUGGAGCUCUAGGCUGACUUCCUAUGGGGGCCUAUGUUCCAUUCUAACUGAGCCAAGCUUCCCAUACUGUAAAUUACAAUUAAAGCUCAGACCCUUGAGACAGAGGAGGUUAGGAGAGUGACUCUUCUAACAUCUCCCAUCAUCCACACAUUUUCAGAGCAUGCUUGAACUCCUGGACCCAAGGCCAGUGUAAUAAUUUCAUAACUUAAAAAAUAUGGUGUUUUAAUUUUUUAAAAUUUCAUGUAAAACUGAAAGCCACUGUCCUGGAAAUGUUCUUUGCUUUUUAAAUUAUUUAAUGUUCUUUUAUCUUUGUAUGUUUACAAUGGAAGGAAAUAAUCCUACUAGCUGCCAGUGAAUGAGGGAGGAGAGCAGAGCUGAAGAAAUUAGAGCUACUGUUCAGCAGAAGCUUCUAUAGUCUUGUUUGUUUGAUGUGAUGGCUACUGGACUCACAGAAAUGCACCUUCUGUUUAUGCUUCCAAGUGUUCCUUUUAUCUUUAGAUAAAAGUGUACAAGGGAAGUUGCCAAAAUUAGUCCACCUUUUGGGCCCAGGCCACAGUUAAACUUAGAUGUAAAAGAGAUCAAAGAAUUUCCAUUUUGAUCCAAAUAGCUUCAGCCCAGCAGUGUGCUGGUGGCAAUAUGAAAUGGCUAAAUUCUUUCUGCUUUGGAACAUCUAAGCAGUAUAGAUAGAUCUUCCUCGAUUUAUGACUGGGUUACAUCCCUAUUCCCCAUAAUAAGUUGAAAAUAUCAGAAGUUGAAAGUGUAUUUAAUACACUUAACCUACUGGACAUCAUAGCUUAGCCUAGCCUGCCUUAAACAUGCUCAGAACACUUACUUUAGCCUACGGUUGGGCAAAAUCAUGUAACACAGAGCCUAUUUUAUAAUAACGUGUCGAAUAGAUCAUGUAAUUUCACUUAAAGUGAAAACCAGAAUGUUUGUAUGGGAACAGAAUGGUUCCUUCCUUAAUUUUUAAAAAAAAUGUUUAUUUUUGAGAGAGAGACAGACAGAACGCAAGGGGCGAGGGGCAGAGAGAGAGGGAGACACAGAAUCCGAAGCAGGCUCCAAGCUCAGAGCUAUCAGCACAGAGCUCAACGCAGGGCUCGAAGUCACAAAACGAGAUCAUAACCCGAGCAGAAGUUGGACGCUUAACUGACUGAGCCACCCAGGUGCCCCUGGGAAUAUAAUGGUUGUAAGUGGAUUGGUUGUUUACCCCCAUAGUCAUGCAGCUGACUGGGAGCUGUGGCUCAGUGUCACUGCCCAGCAUUCCAAGAAAGGACCAUAGCACAUAUUGCUAGCCCUGGAAAAGAUCAAAAUAGAAAACUUGAAGAAUGAUUUCCACUGAACGUGUAUUACUUGUGCAUCAUGGUAAAGUCAAAAAGUCACAAGUCAAAUCAUUGGUGGGGGGCUAUCUGUACAUUUGAAACUGCGAGGCACAAAAAACAUGCAUAUCUGCUUUUGAAAUGACUCCUGCCUUUCAGGAGCUGACAAAGAAACACUUGUGUAGACCUCACUUCAGAAUCUCGUGGGAAGCACCCAGGUACUCCUGAAGGCUGCCUCGGGGGAUCUCUGCAAUUGGACAGUUUCUCUCCUUUCCCCAGCAGAAGCGGAAGCAUGGUUUUUCUAUGCUUCUUUUAGUCAAACUGUUGAAGAUUCUUCUGGGCAAGAUGACAGCAGCUCCCUUCCCCCUCCCUUUUUUCUAUUGCUUUCAGGUUCUGAGCUUGGCAAGCAUCACACUGGUGUCCUCUGAGGACGUAGGAAUAGACAGAUGACUGUUCGUCUCUGUGCAGGAGUAGGGUCAUUAAAUUAUUUAUUACCCAAACCGUUUUUGUGAGUGAAAGGGGCACUAUUAGUAAUGAGACCUGGACAACUGGAAUAAACUGUGACUGCUGGCAAAUUGGGAUUGUGGUCACCUUGUAUGUAGGGGAAUGGGUGCCUAAGACAUCAAUUUUCAUGCUUCUUUUCCUGUGCAAGACUGGACAUUUUCUAGUCACUCCUUUAGGUUAUUACAGGCAAUCAUUUUCUGUGUUUGAUAGCAAACACAGCAAUAAGAAAAAAAAAGGAUAAUAAAUUUCCGUAUGACUCAGAAUAUAGCCCCCUUGUUAAAUUAUAUAGCUCCAGAAUAGAUUUUGUUGCAAAGAAUAUGUUCUGUAAAAAUCCUUUAAAGAAGCCUUUCAAACGUUUGUUUUUUUUUUAGGAUGCCACACCCACUAUUUACAAAGAAAGUCUUGAAGGGGAGCAGUGGGCCCCUCAGGCCACUUCUAGCAAAGAAAUGUACAUUCAGUACCAACAACACAGAAACAUUGUUGUAACUACACCCAAACUAUUUCUUGUGUCCAACAUAUUUUCGUCUUCAGACUGCAAUUGGUUUGCUGUUUCCUUUCUGUUUGUUUUACCACUUGCCUUCUAAAUAUUUUUCAUCAUCCUGGAGAUUUUCCCAAGUUGUGGUCUGCUUGCUGGAGGGCCACAUUCCUCUGAUUGUGGCAUUAAGUUGUGUCGCCAUGGCAAGGCUUGUUUAUCAUAAGGGAGUAUUUCACAGGAUGGGCACCUCUGAAAACAAUUUCAACCUCCUUUCCUCCACUUCAUAUGCUCAGAUUCUGAGACAGCAGCCCAGAUAUGGCUUUCUCAAAUCACAAACCGCAUUCCUAGAGUGUGAACUUUACUUUGCUCUGCUCUUAAGACAGAGAAAUAUUUGGCUCUCUUUAUUUCUUUCAAACUGGGCAGUGCCCUCUUGACUGUUAUGACUAAUGCACUUGUCAAGACUGGAAUCUGCUAACAGGUAGAUCACACUGCUCGAACUUGGGAAGCAAAAACGCCAGAGGCCAAAGGGUGACCUCGUGGUGCUUGAAGCCCAUCCUCUGUUGACUGUGAGGAGAUUUUCUAAGAGAAGGAAAGCUUAGUCAGAACCUGACAGUUCUUGCUCCCUCACAUUCCUACAGAGGAACCAGCUUGGGGAGAGAUAAGAGCUCUGGGUUGACACCCUGAUUAUGCCUACCUUUUUAUUUGUUAUAUGUGGAAAUUGACUUCAUCCAAUUAAUAAGAGCAGGAAACAGUUUUUGUUUUCUCUUUGUAGGGAAACAUGAAGUAACGGUUUUAUCUUAAUUUGUCAGGCAUUGCCCAAGAGACUACAGCCAUGUGGGCUGGUGGCCAAAAUAUCGCUCUAAGUCCCAAGUAUUAACACCCAGAUAUAAAAAGAAUGCUAAUUGGUUUUCCAGCUGAAAAAUAAUAAGGCACUUGUGCCAAAAAUGCUGUAUGGCAUGGAAACCCCAAGUUUAUACAAUAGGCCUGAUUGCAAUCUGGGGGCUCCAUUUGUACUCGUAUGUAGCACUAAACAAAGGGAGGUGUUGCACUCCUCUGCCUUUGUAGAAAGCCUCUGCUCCAGAUCUCAGCCUGGUGUUGCACCAGGCUUCCCACAGUCUUCCUGCCAAAUCUCCAAGUUUUUUCCUGGCUGCCAUUCAGGAAAGUACAGCUCCGUUCGUAGGAUGGAAAGUUAAAAAGGCCUUGCUUGGAUACGCUGAAAUAUAUACAAACACUGCUUGACGUAUGGAGUAGGCUGGUUUUGCACAAGCUGCUCCUGCCUGCAUUCUAAGGAAAGAGAAUGAGAGACUUUAAAAAGUUAUUCCAGUUAAAUGAUGGAGAUAUUAGAUGGAAGAAAAAAAAAUAUUUUUUAAAAAAAGUAAAUUCAGCAUUUCCCUUAAUCCCAACAAUUAUCCACCUUAGUUUCCUCAUUGGCAAAAUGUCAGAUAAUCUCUAAGAGCCCAUCCAGCAUGGGCAAUCUCUAAUUUAAAGGACGUGGUUUAGUUGAGAUAGAAGAUACUGAAUGUAGAUACUCUAGCAAGAAGGAUACUGGAAGUGAGCUGGUGAGAGUCACUCUCAGGGCCCUCGGCAAAUGUCAGUCUAGGACUGGUACACUGAUGCAUAUUGGCUGAUUGCCUGCAUUACCCCUGGCUACACACCUUGACUCUAUGUCUAUAUCACUGAUGGAAAAGUGCUUGAACUGAAAGCUUUCCUAAUACUUAGAACCUUGUUCUCAUUAUUCCUGUUGAUGGUUAACACCAUUGCAAACUUCACAGAUAAAUUCAAUAUUUAUAGAAUAUUAUCCAAAAAUGCAUUUUAAUUAUACUUAAUACUGAAAUAUACUCUUUCCUGUCACCAACAAUGGUCAUGGACUAUGACCAAUAUGCUAGCCAUGCAUGUAAAAAUGCAAGUAAGUUAAAAAAAACUUUAAAGAUACAUAAUUACUUUGACAGUAGGAGUAAAACAUUCUCAGUAACCAAUUUCUGCCAGAGGAUGCAGGGAAUAAAACAGGCCAUAAGCUUCCACUGGUGUGUACUAUUUUGGGUAGACACUGGCAAGCAAUUGUCUGUUUGUUUCUAUCAAUGCUUUUCUUUUAUUACUUUUAAUUUGUUAUUAUUACUGCAUUUUCACCUAGAAUAGUUAGGCAGAAUGGGAGGUAUUUAAGACUUUAGAAAGUAUUUAUUUAAGAAUAUGGAGCACCAGGACUUUUAACCUGCAGGAGAAACCAAGGAGUAGAAGAACAUUGAGUUAGUAUUGCUGGCCUUCAAUCUGGUUCAUCUCCACCAAAUAAAAUGAAUUUUCCAGUGUCUCCCAUCUUUCCAUGUAGGUUCCAGCUCCUUUGGUACAUUCCUGCAUCUGUGACUUGCUCUUUCUCUUACCUGGAGUGAGCUCCAUUCUCUCUCCUUCUAGAUCCUAGUUCAGUUCCCAUCUGAUCUUUGAAGCCCCCGAGACCACUCUCUAGUGCCCUUGGGUUUCCCAUUUAUCUGAACUCUUACUGCUUUUACUGUUUUCAUGAAACUAGGUAAGGAGGUGGAGGGCUCACAGAUCAGAUGGGUAUCGAACUGGGACCCAGAAUAUGAAGAGCAGACAGGAGUAUUUUUUAUUGCAAGGUGUAGGGACUCACUCAAGUAGCUCAAAAUAAGGACAGUGUAUUGUGGACCCACAGAGUCCAAGAAAUGUGCCUUGCAGGAUAUGAACUGGAACAUAUCAGAAAGCUAGGUGGCUCUCUUCCUAACUCUCAAGAUCAUACACUACUCCUCUGAUGCUUUCCCAGGAAUAUUUGCUUUCACAUUCUUCCCUUUGUCUCUCCCCAAUUUCCAUGUUAUCAUUUCAGUUUUCUUUCAGCUCAACUGCCCUCAAAUAACUGAAUUGGACUUUUAGGAUCUUACUUCCAAACUUCAAGAGAUUCGAUCAUUUCAUCUUGUGCUGCAUAUCCAGUCCUCCAUUUGAUCAGCGUGGUUGGCAGGGGCAGGGAUUUUUGAUACAGAAAGCUGCCUAAGCCCACUCCAGUGGCAGCCUGUAGGUGGAAAAGUUUCAGGGAAGGGGAAAACAAGUAGUAAAGUGCUCCAAAAGAUAUUCAUUAUUUGCAGAAUAAUUGCAGAAUUAUUUCCCCGAGGCAAAGUCCUUAAGGGCAAGGAAUAAAUUACAUGUUGCUUAUGUCCAUCACUGUGUUCAGCACAAUGCUGUUUAUCCGCCACAGUGAUUCACAACCCUGGCUACACAACAGAAUCACCUGGGAAACUUUUAGGAGCAUUUCAGUAUCAAAUCCUCCCCCUUGCCACCACCAGAGAUUCUGAUUUCACUAACUGGGGACAUGGCCCAGACACCAGGGGCUGCUGUGCUUUCCAGAUGUCAGACUUAACUCUUACUGAGGUCAGGGCCAUGGGAAACAGUACUCGUAUACCUGAAACAGUGAUUGGCCUCAUAACUGAAAACCUGGUAGAAAUUCAAGAGCUAUUAAGUAGCUUAAAAUUCAUGCCUGGCCUUUUUAGAAGGGUAACUGUAAUUACAUUCAUAUUGUCUUAGGUGGGGUGAAUGCUAGUUACAUAGGUAACUUUAGAAGGAGACAUUAAAAUUGCUUCUUGGCCUUUUGGCUAAGGUCAAGUGUAGAAGGAGACAUUAACAUUUCUGAUUUUAUAUGAAAAAUUUUUUCCUCAUUCUUGUAACUAAUUUCAUCAAAUGUGGUAGUCAAUGGUUAUUUCCACAAGGCUUUUUGAGCACAUCAUCAAUACAUCUUCAAAAUGCAGUCCUGUCCCUGGAUUCUUUGAAAGCAGUAUUAUAUAAUUAGGAAAAUUUAAGAUUUAGUAAAUUCUGAAUUGAUGACAAAUCAGAGUGCCACCUGAAUGACAAUUGUUUUAGUUUUUUCAGUGGUAACGCUGAAAUUGGCAUUGGUAAAUGUAGACUUACUUAAACAAAUUUUCCUUUGGAAUAGCAAGGAGCUUACUUAUUGCAGGCCCUAGAUGGAGAUGAUCUUUCAGGGUACACGUUAUGGUAUCCUUGUGGUUGCCAAGGUUUGCCUUAGGCUUUAUACCUAUUGGAUAUGGUUGAGUAGUUGGAGAAUUCCUUGAAAGUAGUUUCUGGAGUUCUUCAAUAAGAUCAGUGAAAUGAAGGAGAUAUUCCAAGCUAAACUGGUUCAAGUACAUUCGUUCAACUCUUUGUUCUUAAGGGAAUAACACUGCCUUUCCUGCCAAGUGCCUCUGGGAUCACCUUGGAACAUUCGUUAACCAUCUCUGGAAGUCAAGCCACCUUCAUCUUAUUAUUAGGCACUGAUUUUUGCAUAGAAUGUGAUUCAUCUGCUUUAAUGCUUCCUAGCCUAAUUUCCUUCUCUGAGAAGGAUCCAUUUUUCCCAAUUCACUUGCAGUACCCUUAAGGAAGGCAUGGUUUGACAUUGAACUCUUUGGCAAAGGGUCUCAGAAGAGAAUACCUUGGAAGACAUCUUUGCCAAUUUUUGAUCUAGCAAACCAGACUCAAUUUCCCUCUUGCGUUAUGGCACAGACCAGUGCAGUACCAACACUUUGCUAUCCUAGAGGAUCUUGUGCUGGACCUUCUGGAUGUGAGGAUCCCUUCUUGGACUUACCAUCAUGUGUCCAAUGGUCAAUAUGUGAAUUGUGAUGUUAGCUAUUAAGUUUCCUUUGGGGGCGAUGUGAAUGGCUUAUUUUGUUUCCUAGCCAGAUACUGGCUUUGCCAGAGAAGGAGCAGAGAAGCGACCCUUCCAUGCUGAACAGAGCUAUGACACAUCGGAAUGUAUAUUUGCUCAACAGAGUUGAUGGAAGUCUUUGUCCAUGGCAACCAUGAAUCUCAACCACACUUCACUUCAGCUCACCAAAAGAUGGACUACUUUUAUUACCUGAACAGGAAAACCGAGUCAUUUAAAAGGGUCAAAAACCAGACUCUUUCCUAAUCAGAGACCUUGGACCUUGGAACCCAAACAUGUACAACUUGGGUCCUGUCCUUUUGGAGACUAACUAAUGGGAAUAAAUUUUUCCAUAGCAGAA